CGGCGGCCGUUUUCUUCCCCGCCACCGUGCCUCCAUCUUCAAUCUUGCCGCACCACCAAAGAGGAGAAAAGAUAGAGCUUCUGGUGGACAAGACUGAUAUCCUUCAUCACCAGGAAUAUGGCAUCUUCUGAAACACUAUCAUCACAACCACCAUCACAAGAAGCAUCUUCAGCUCAAAGUUUAGUUCAAAAUAAUGUUAGAGGAAAGACUGAUAUAGCUUGGGCACAUUGUACUAGAAGUCCUGAUGGAAAAUCUCUUGUUUGUAUGCACUGUCACAAAUCUUUUGGUGGAGGUGGAAUUUAUAGGGUAAAUCAACACUUGGCUGGAAUAGUAGGAAAUGUUGAAAUUCGUAAGAAAGUGUCUGCUGAAAUUCGUUUCCAGAUGAAACAACAUUUCAAUGAGCGGAGCAAGAAAAGAAAA
Molecule: long non-coding RNA, 420 nt
Organism: Vicia villosa (hairy vetch)
Lineage: Eukaryota; Viridiplantae; Streptophyta; Magnoliopsida; Fabales; Fabaceae
Exons: 3
Source: RefSeq, a predicted model, not a curated record